Molecule: ribosomal RNA, 56 nt
Filed under: Mesocricetibacter intestinalis
Lineage: Bacteria; Pseudomonadati; Pseudomonadota; Gammaproteobacteria; Pasteurellales; Pasteurellaceae
Source: RNAcentral
CGUAACGCCGAUGGUAGUGUGGGGCUUCCCCAUGUGAGAGUAGGUCACCGCCAGGU